UUUGAAGUUCUUACUUUACUGAACGAUUUUGCUUCUUACAAUUAUAUCUAUAAUGAACUUUGCCCAUUAGUAACAGAGAACUAUAUUUGGUAAAAAUUUACAUAAAUUUACCAAAUUAAUGAAAAUUGUUAAAAAUUGACUAUAAAGGACAAUAACUCCUUAAGGGGUCAAUUGACCAUUUAGGUCAUGUUGACUUAUUUGUAGAUCUUACUUUGCUGAACAUUAUUGCUGUUUACAGUUUAUCGCUAUCUAUAAUAGUAUUCAAGAUAAC
Molecule: long non-coding RNA, 271 nt
Filed under: Mytilus galloprovincialis (Mediterranean mussel)
Lineage: Eukaryota; Metazoa; Mollusca; Bivalvia; Mytilida; Mytilidae
Source: RNAcentral